GAUGAACGCUAGCGGCAGGCCUAACACAUGCAAGUCGAGGGGUAGAGUUCUUCGGGACUUGAGACCGGCGCACGGGUGCGUAACGCGUAUGCAAUCUACCUUAUACAGGGGAAUAGCCCAGAGAAAUUUGGAUUAAUGCCCCAUAGUAUUAUUGAAUGGCAUCAUUUGAUAAUUAAAGUUCCAACGGUAUAAGAUGAGCAUGCGUCCCAUUAGUUAGUUGGUAAGGUAACGGCUUACCAAGACAAUGAUGGGUAGGGGUCCUGAGAGGGAGAUCCCCCACACUGGUACUGAGACACGGACCAGACUCUACGGGAGGCAGCAGUGAGGAAUAUUGGUC
This 337-nucleotide ribosomal RNA is filed under the name uncultured bacterium. Its description in RNAcentral is "bacterial SSU rRNA". It matches the Rfam family "Bacterial small subunit ribosomal RNA", at positions 28 to 369 of the family's 1533-position model. The record is from RNAcentral.